UGCCCUACGGGCGGCUGCAGUGGGGAAUUUUGGACAAUGGGCGCAAGCCUGAUCCAGCAAUGCCGCGUGCAGGAAGAAGGCCUUCGGGUUGUAAACUGCUUUUGUACGGAACGAAAAGCUCUGGGCUAAUACCCUGGGGUGAUGACGGUACCGUAAGAAUAAGCACCGGCUAACUACGUGCCAGCAGCCGCGGUAAUACGUAGGGUGCGAGCGUUAAUCGGAAUUACUGGGCGUAAAGCGUGCGCAGGCGGUUUUGUAAGACAGGCGUGAAAUCCCCGGGCUCAACCUGGGAAUGGCGCUUGUGACUGCAAGGCUGGAGUGCGGCAGAGGGGGAUGGAAUUCCGCGUGUAGCAGUGAAAUGCGUAGAUAUGCGGAGGAACACCGAUGGCGAAGGCAAUCCCCUGGGCCUGCACUGACGCUCAUGCACGAAAGCGUGGGGAGCAAACAGGAUUAGAUACCCUAGUAGUCGU
RNAcentral lists this ribosomal RNA (470 nucleotides) under uncultured Comamonadaceae bacterium. RNAcentral's name for it is "bacterial SSU rRNA". It matches the Rfam family "Bacterial small subunit ribosomal RNA", at positions 335 to 797 of the family's 1533-position model. Lineage: Bacteria; Pseudomonadati; Pseudomonadota; Betaproteobacteria; Burkholderiales; Comamonadaceae. The record is from RNAcentral.